ACAUGUUUCCAGACUCUCGCAUUGACUGUUGAAUAAGUACUCAAGUACACAGAGUAGCCAAGAGAAUGUCUCGGCUUAUGCAACAUGAUUUCUUUCAGCUGAUAUCAGGGUCAAUUAGAAAUUCGUGUUCUUAUUUUCUCCCUUUCGAGAUCAAAUAUUGUGGGGUUUAGGAACAUAAUGUUGUUAUACAAGGUUUAACAAUUUCACUGCAACUAUGCGGGCAUCACCUGUUUCUGGAUUCUAUUUGCAUUGCAAAUGGUUGUAUUGAUUAGCCAAAACCUUUGCGGUACCACUUUAUGAAAUAAAGCUGAUGAAAAGGUUUUGGCUAAUCA
Molecule: unclassified non-coding RNA, 332 nt
Filed under: Hevea brasiliensis (rubber tree)
Lineage: Eukaryota; Viridiplantae; Streptophyta; Magnoliopsida; Malpighiales; Euphorbiaceae
Source: RNAcentral